This is a regulatory RNA element of Polaromonas sp. CG9_12, 115 nucleotides long. It matches the Rfam family "TPP riboswitch aptamer (THI element)". From Rfam's summary of the family: Vitamin B(1) in its active form thiamin pyrophosphate (TPP) is an essential coenzyme that is synthesised by coupling of pyrimidine and thiazole moieties in bacteria. The previously detected thiamin-regulatory element, thi box was extended, resulting in a new, highly conserved RNA secondary structure, the THI element, which is widely distributed in eubacteria and also occurs in some archaea. Analysis of operon structures identified a large number of new candidate thiamin-regulated genes, mostly transporters, in various prokaryotic organisms. The record is from Rfam. NCBI's taxonomy places the organism in Bacteria, Pseudomonadati, Pseudomonadota, Betaproteobacteria, Burkholderiales, Comamonadaceae.
CGCAGCUUGUCGGGGUGCCCAGGAUGUUUACAUCCGGGGCUGAGAUCGCAAUUUUGCGAGACCCGCUGAACCUGAUCGGGAUCAUCCCCGCGUAGGAAACAAGGCACUUUGGCUC